UGUUGCAUCUCUUCUGCCACAUUAAGUGACAGCCACAGGUUCCCGGGAUGAGGACCUGGAUAACUUUUGGACAUUCGAGUUGUUCUUGCCCUGACACCUGCCCUAACCUCCUGAGAGCUCCAAGCUGCCGCCGGCCGGGGUGCGCCCAGUGUGGGCUGCGCAGCUGGUCCUUCUCUUGUGCGGGGCUGUUACCCCCGAGUCCCCGGACUUCCUGGCUCUGUCGUCUGUCCUUCCAAGUGACUGGUCGAAGUGUGUGCAAAGAUCCUGAGAUUCAGGCUUCGAGAAGACUUGCCGCUGUGGUUCCACAGCGCUGAUGUAUCAUGGACAUUCAACCCUCAGUCCAACUGCCACUAGCAAACUUGGGUGUGUGUCUCGUUGCUCAAUCUCGCUCUGGGAUUCGAUCCAGGGACACAAAUAAAGCCACCUUUCCAUCUUUGCCAGAGAGCAUACUUCAUUCUGUUUUCCGCUGUGAAGACUCGGCACCUGCAUGGCCUCCUCACACUUGCCCCAAGUAGGAGUGAGUGCUGCACUCAUGCAAAUCUCUCAGCGCAACAAUGAACUGAACAGGGCGUCUCCCCUGUGCUGGGAAUGAACAGGACCUAAAAGAAUCCAUCUUUCCACACAUUUUUAAAGAUUGAUUGAUUGAUGACACGGAGAUUGAGACAGAGACACACGCAGAGGGAGAAGCAGGCUCCCUGCAAGGAGCCUAAUGCAGGACUCGAUCCCAGACUCUGGGAUCACAACCUGAGCCAAAGGCAGAUGCUCUACCACUGAGUCACCCAGGCAUCCCACUUUCCACACAUCUUAUAUAGAAGCACCUCUCCGGGGACAGCCUCCUCCUUGCCUUCCCUCGCAAUAAACCAGCCCACUGCUUUUCAAUAACGUGCUAUAAAUCUUUGGAUGUUAGUCUUUAUGUGUCCAUUCCAUCUGCCAGAUGAGGAGGUCUUCAAAGUCUGGGGGCUUUCCAAGCACCAAGCCAUGGCCCUCUUUCCUUCAGACAGGAAGCUCCCUGCAUCUCAUAUUCCUCUGUCCCCCAGGUCACAUUUUGAGAAGCUGUAAAAAAAACUUGUCCCUUUAAUUCUAACCAUGCAGAUGAUGCCAGGACACUGGAAGUGAGCAGGGAAAGCCACUGCAAGGGAAAAGCUCUGUUAGCAGCUGAGAGGCCAAGGAAUUGCCCCCUAUCCCCUCUUCAGAGCUGAAAACUCAGAUGGCACUUGCUGUGGGCUGACAGGGUGAGGUAGUAAAUGACCUGCAUCUCAUUCCCUAGCAUGUGGCUCAGGCCCUGUGGAAUGCAAGAGGCUCCAUAAGUGUGUGUUGAGUGAAUGAAUGAAUGGAUUAUGAAUAUGUGGAUACAGAGGGCCCAUCCCAGACACCAGGCC
RNAcentral lists this long non-coding RNA (1379 nucleotides) under Canis lupus familiaris (dog). Its description in RNAcentral is "lncRNA (ENSCAFG00040005911.1)". Lineage: Eukaryota; Metazoa; Chordata; Mammalia; Carnivora; Canidae. The record is from RNAcentral.